RNAcentral lists this long non-coding RNA (581 nucleotides) under Papio anubis (olive baboon). RNAcentral's name for it is "lncRNA (ENSPANG00000040094.1)". The record is from RNAcentral. Lineage: Eukaryota; Metazoa; Chordata; Mammalia; Primates; Cercopithecidae.
UGACAGGAGUUGAAUUUACAAGUCCAACAAGGCAUUUGUCCUACCCUGAAGGUGAUGAUUGCAGCAAUAUAUGAACACGCAGGAUUUUGACAGCACUUAAGAGGAAUAUCUGUCUCAAAAUGGGGAAAGAUGUGAGGAAAAAAAAAAACAUGCAGUGAGUGAAGAAACAUUAAAUUAAAUUUUAUAACAGAUAAUAAAAGUCAGGUCUGUAAAAAAAAUCGUGGAAGAAGAAAAAGAGCAGGAUUUGUGAAAGUACAAAGGAAUAAAGCAGCAUGAUUCAUUCAGAAGUUUAAAACACAUUGGUGACACCUUUUAGAAAAGAAACUUUUAAAUACAAGUAAGAGAAGCAGAGUGUAGUGGCAGAGGAGGAGAGAAGAGAAGCAGCAGCUGGACAUCGGAGAAAAGCAGCUUGACUUUGGAGGGAUGGCUUGAUGGUGGGACUUCACAGAAGAGUUCGACCGUCCUCAGAGAAAUGGAAAUCCUUGGAGAAUGUCCGUCUCCAUGAUAUUUGGUACCUGGCAUAUCUAAACCCAGGACAAGUGUUCACAGCACAGCAAUCAAAACUUCUCAGGCCACUGUGA